Long non-coding RNA from Haplochromis burtoni (Burton's mouthbrooder), 4110 nucleotides. RefSeq lists it as uncharacterized. The transcript is spliced from 2 exons. Lineage: Eukaryota; Metazoa; Chordata; Actinopteri; Cichliformes; Cichlidae. The record is from RefSeq and is a predicted model, not a curated record.
UAUCCGCGACACCUUAAAGGCCGGUCCGUGAAAAUAUUGUCGGCCAUAAACCGGUCCGUGGCGCAAAAAAGGUUGGGGACCGCUGCUUUAAAACACCCAUUUUCUAUACUUUUAUAUUGAGGAUAUGCUAUGAGUGUUGUGCUUUUGUUGCCAUCCUGCAAAAUGUAUUUAUUUAAACAUAACAGAAGACUUGUGCUUUUGCAUGCCUUUAAUGCUUACUCUCUUCACAGAGCUGUUUUAAAGUUAAGUUCAUAUAGAUUCUUUAACAUGUUGUAGUUAAAGGAAACCAAACAGUCGUCCUACCCAUUCAAAGGUACUUAAAGCGCAGUAUCCAUGUGUUGUGGUUGUGGCUGGUCAGUGCAUCUGCCAUCUGUAUUGAUAAGAUUUCCUGAGGGGAAACAAUUGUGUGAAAUGCAGGAAGCCAUUAGGAAGCCAGGGACUCAUGUCUCUCCCUGCUGAGUAAAUAGUGCCUGGGCCUCCCCGAUUUCAUCCACUUUUGAAUGAGCCCAGCACUUGUAACAAUAAAGGCAGGAAAUGAACUGUACUCACACAGAAGCGUGCAGGAUGCUCAUUGUGUUCCUAAUUGACCAAACUAGGUUGGGUGAUGAAAGCAGACUUUUUUUUCCCCCCCCCUUUGUUGGACAAAAAUAACUCAAAGGUAGCAUACAGUAGGUGUGGUCGAACAAGCAGCUAAUGAGGCGGUAUUUCAUUUCAGCAUAGUUUCAUUUAUUUAUUUAUUAUCUUUAGAUCAUUUUGGGCUGUUGUGGUCACGUCCUAACUGACCCAGUUUGUGUGAAAUGGGACCUCACAGCUCGGACCCAUGACUGCCUAAUGUUGCUUGGUAUUGCUUACAUGUGCACAUACACGAGCAAUGGAGAAAAAAUAAUAAAAAGUAGUGCAUAGGAGAGAGCAGACGUGUCAGCACUUGGUACCUCAUGUGCUGUGUGAAAACAAUCACUCCCCACUUUCAGCUUGUUUAUGAUUUCCUAAGCUCAUCUGGCUGCAACAUCCUUGUUUUUUCUCUGUGGAAGGCAGCCAUGACUCUCACCCAGACAGCAUUACUUAAGUUGUCACCUGAGAAGCCCUCCUGGGGAAAGUUGUUUUGUCCUUGAGUGUAGACCAUAAGCGUAUUUAGGCUGAUCUGUAUUCAGGGGAGAUUGGUAAUGUAGUAGGGAUUGAGGUUAUGCCUCCUACCAGUCCUGCCGCUCCUAAGACAAAAUUCAGCGUGUGUGUGUCUGUGUUGUGUGUGUGUGUGUCAGCACGCGCACUUUUAGCCAUUAGCCUUUUCUUUCCGUGAACAUUGGCUAUGCACUAAGGUAAUUGUAAACCAAGAAUCAAAUAAACCAGUUUCUAAAUGGCCAUUUUGGUUUCAUUGUUGGGUAAAGAAUGUGCGGCUCUCUGGCCCACUUUUUGUGCUCGGCAUAAUUGAUAUUUGCUUUACCCCUAGAUUAAGUGACAGCUAAGCAGGUUAGCAUUGAGGAUUUUCCCCGAUUAAUUCCAAGAGUCCAAUCUGAGCAGGCUGGCCACGCUCCCUGUAUCAUCCCGAACGUCUGCCUUACCUGGGAUUUACUAGCAUAUGAAAGGGAAAUGAGAUCAGAGGUGAUAAAUCCUGCAGCAAAGCCUCCCUCAGUGAAAAUGAGAUGCCCACAUGGUAUUGUCUGUCAGCAGGUGCCCCUGCUCUCAUUUCUGAUAAAUUGAUUUUGAACAUUCAGGUGAUGGGAAGUGGGGUAGCCCUACUGAGUGCAGGCUUUUUUUCCCCUUUGUAUUGUGCCUUGUAAUAUGCUCCGGUCUGGCUGUCUUCCUUUUGUUGCAGUAGAGCCCCAUUGUAGUGGUUACUCAUUCACACCAUGUCCACACACUGUUAGGUUCCCCCUAUCCCAGCAGAUUUGCAAGCAAGUAAUUUAGGGGUUGUUAAGUGAUUUAGCAUCUGUCUUUGAUAGGACCCUAGUGAGCCACAACUGCCACCCCCCUUUCCGCCCAUCGCUGUCUGUGCCUGUGGCAUCAAGGCCUGCGUUUGAAUUUCAAUCAGCCCUGGAUACAUUGUUGUGUUUAUUUGAGGGGGAUGGGUUGGAUGGGGUGUCAGUAGUAACUGACUGUGUGUGUGUGUCAAUCAAAUAUUCAGCGUGACCAAUGGGCAGCUCAAUGGAGGCUAGUCGGUGUGUUCUCUGGGGGGCACACGUCUUUAACCGAUGCCCGUAGGGCGAACUCUGCCCCUCACUUCUUUAGUUGACUGGCGCCACCCUCCCUUCCUCGUCAUCCUCCUUCCACAACACAAACGCAGGCGAUGCAAUCAAUAACGGCCUCACCCUCCUCCUCCUUCUAGCACCCUACCUCCCCCCUGCUCCAACCUCUCUUCUCUGCUUUCUAUCUAUCAGCACAGUGUUUGAUGUUGCUUCAUCAUUCUGUCAUCCCCCCCGACACCUUGAUGUGUGUAAUUGUGUUAGAUUUGUCAUGGUGGCAUAGUUAUUUGGCCCGGCCCAGCUGGUAUUAAGCCAGAGGGCGUUAUUCCACGUACCUGCAACCCAGGCAUUAGUUGUAAAAUAUCCGUGGCGUCUCAUUUUAUUUCAAUGUGGCAUUUUGCAGUUGUGGUUCACUUGGUUCUCCCAGUACCCUAAGGUACGUUCCGUCCUUUAUUAAGGACCAUUUUGCAUUUUCUGAUUUCCAUUGUUCCCAACUCGCUCUGCUUCUUCCCUCUCACCAGGCAGUGAGGCAUAAGCGAUCUCGCAUUAAAAAUCAAACCCCACAGCAGAUUGGUUGUAGGAAAUGAGAGGAAUUGAUGGGGGGGUGGAGAGAAAGAAGUCUCACAGAUAAACAGUCAGACAGAUGCCAGCAUCAUAGUAAGGCUGUGAAAAAUUGCUUGGAAAAAAUGUAUCAUUGGACAUUUCUGGCACUGAUUUUUCAUUAGCACCUUAUUUCUUAAAGACUGCGCUCAGUGUGAAAAUAUUUGACAGUAACCGUUCUUAUUUCCCCCCCAGAGGAAAACUGGCAUUGCUUUCCAAAUAUCUGUUUGGAAAGGAAUGCAGUUUCAUUUGUGUCGGAUGUAAAGAUCACUGUGUUAAUGUGGAGGCUGCGUGAGUAGACGCACAAUGGAAUCAGAUCUUUAUUUGAAAAAAAUGGGGUUUUUUUUAUUUUUAUUGGAAACCUUACCAGUGACGCUCCCAAUUCAUUAUCUUCAUCUUCGUUUCAUCAAAUCGCUUCAUCAAACAAUCCUCGUCUCCUAAUGUAACACUGGCUAAUUUCGUUUUGCGAGGCUUUUCUGUGCAACCUGUUGUGCGAGGAAAAUCUAAUCAAUACAUUUGUUUCGCGAGAAACAGUGGGGGGAUGUAGUGCGAGAGGGGGAAAGAUGGUGCGCACAGGAGACUGUGCAAUGAGGAAGACGUAAGAGGCACUCUGAGAGAAUCCGUCCUUGUCGAUUAUGCACGCGCUACAACCUUGACAGCCACAUUAGAUCUCUUACUCCGUACACCAAACUACCAUUAAUAAUGGAUACAUCUUUCUAGUUCUUUUUGCUUUCCUCUUCCCCUCCCCCCAGUAUUGGCCCUUAAGGCGUCUACCCCUCUUUCCCUACCUCCAUCCUGUCCUACUCUCCCCUUCCCCCCCUGUCCCCCCCCCCCCCCGUUUCAGCUGCGAGCCCGCUACCCAGGAGCCACGGCAGGUGUGCAUACAUCUUACAUGGUGCUGGCCACACAGCCUGCAGCACCCAAACAGUCAUAAUCAGACAGGCACACCCACCUGCUUGAGAAAGACCACUGUUGAAUAGUUGCUCGUGUUUGCUUUCCCCUUUUUGUAGCGGUUCAUGUUAUCGGGGUUUAGAUGAGGACAUUAGCCUGGUUUUGUUUCUCCUGACAGAAGCCCACAGACAGUGACAAAUGAAUAUCACACAAAUUCUGCAAAGACACUGAGGAUGAAACGGCACAUACAAGCUAUUGUUAACACUCAUCUGCAAGCACAGUGGUAAAAGGCAUGUUUUAUUAAUAUUAUUUGCUGUUUGAUUGUCACUUUUCGCAUCGCACUUAUCAUCCGAUCCAAGAUAACGGCCUCCAAAACACAAGCCUGAUGCUUAUCAUCAGUUUUAUCUGAAUCUAGAAUUGUAGGAGUCGCACAAAAGAG